Molecule: long non-coding RNA, 528 nt
Filed under: Homo sapiens (human)
Lineage: Eukaryota; Metazoa; Chordata; Mammalia; Primates; Hominidae
Description: non-protein coding lnc-DOCK8-6:3
Source: RNAcentral
UUGUCACAAUUAAUUAAAAUACAUGUGUAUGCCUUUUUAGAUAAAUUCCAUCAGACCAGUUUCUGUCUGGUUGGAAAAUAAUAACUGCCUAUUUGCUAAGUGCCCCUGCCCUAGUACAAACUUAAAAAGAGAAAGUAAAAGUCAAAUGCUUCUACGACUUCAGACUAAGAAAAAGAACUUUUGAGGUUGAAUGUUCCUGAAAUUUUUCUUUUCAUGCAACUACGGACAUGACUUCAAAAGUUGAUGUUACUAAAAAUGUAAGAUAUGAAAGAUAUUUGAAGACUCAGAGAAGGUGGAUUUUCAUUUUAACAAGUCACAUAUAUAUUCUAGAUAUCCUCUUAUUCGUAACUAAGAGAGUCAAAUCAGAUGAAAGAAUCUAAAAAUUUCCCUUUGACUGUGUUAAGUAGAAGUAGUAGAGGCAUAUUGGCCAAAUCUUGAGUGUUUGCAAAUUGACUCUUAAGGCUAUAGGCUGGCACAGGUCAUUGAAGCCCUAGCUUUUUAUCUUUAAUUUUAAAAUCCCCAAACAAU